Austrofundulus limnaeus is the source of this 255-nucleotide long non-coding RNA. RefSeq lists it as uncharacterized. The transcript has 2 exons. The record is from RefSeq and is a predicted model, not a curated record. NCBI's taxonomy places the organism in Eukaryota, Metazoa, Chordata, Actinopteri, Cyprinodontiformes, Rivulidae.
CCUACAGGUGUUUGACCUGCAGAACAGGUGAGGUACCGCCUCCUACAGGUGUCAGACCUGCAGAACAGGUGUUAGACAGAAUAAUUGAUUGGUAAUAAUUGAUUUAGGUGAUGUGUCUGUAUUGAUCAGAGUUGUGAGUCACCUGUAGCUCAUAAAUAAAGUUGUUUCAGUCAAACGUCUUGUGUGUUUUCAUACAAACUCAGUUCCUGUGAAAKUCAGAGUAUGUUUAAAACUGAAAUAAAAACAGAAAAUGUU